Molecule: long non-coding RNA, 263 nt
Organism: Leopardus geoffroyi (Geoffroy's cat)
Lineage: Eukaryota; Metazoa; Chordata; Mammalia; Carnivora; Felidae
Exons: 3
Source: RefSeq, a predicted model, not a curated record
GUUUGGUUCCAGGCCUAGUAGUGACCCCCAAGCUUCCUGAAUGUGCCUGCGUGUAUCACAAAAUACUCCGUGGAAAGAGGGAAGCUUUGCUGCUGAGAUGCUCCGUUUCAAAUAAGGAUGCUAUGAACAUUGAACACUUUGCUUUGCUGCCUCCUCCAAAACAACAAUAGAUAUACAGUUCAGAUAGCCGUGUCUCAUCCUGGCCUGUUUCCUGCUCUUGUAAAGUAGGGAAAAUAAUUGUACUUAUUUCACAAGACUACUGU